Molecule: long non-coding RNA, 347 nt
Filed under: Callithrix jacchus (white-tufted-ear marmoset)
Lineage: Eukaryota; Metazoa; Chordata; Mammalia; Primates; Cebidae
Description: lncRNA (ENSCJAG00000079313.1)
Source: RNAcentral
UGAAUCCAGGGACCUCAUUAUUGCAUAUUUCUUUGGGAAAUGAUGGCAUGGGCAGCAAUCCUUGGAUUUGGGAAUCUCAUCUUGGUGUCCAGGCCCUUGUUCUUCCACCUCUAACUCCAAUGCAACCUCCUGUGAUGCUGGUGGAUCCAAAAGGAUAGUUCAUGACACCAGGACCUCAUCCUCUUGCUCCUCCAGAAGGCUUGUGUGGACCACCAUGAGGAUGUUUUCAGCCAAGCCAUUUUGGUGGCCUGCAACAUUUUUCUAUCAAAGUAAGAAGCAUCUAUCCAACAAAGAAUUGUCAUUUUCCUCUCCAUAGAUUUCCUCCCAUUGCUGAGCUUCCAGAAGAG